UACAUGCAAGUCAACUUGACUUUAGAUAGCAAUAUCGAAAGUAGGGUGGCGCACGGGUGCGUAACGCGUAGGUAAUCUGCCCUGAGGUCUGACAUAACCCGUCGAAAGGCGGGCUAACAUCAGAUGAUAUAUAAUCACGACAUCGUGGAAAUAUCAAAUCUUCGGAGCCUUGGGAUGAGCCUGCGUCUGAUUAGGUAGUUGGCGGAGUAAUAGCCCACCAAGCCUACGAUCAGUAGCUGGUCUGAGAGGAUGAUCAGCCACACUGGAACUGAGACACGGUCCAGACUCCUACGGGAGGCAGCAGUAAGGAAUAUUGCUCAAUGGGGGGAAACCCUGAAGCAGCAACGCCGCGUGAAGGAUGAAAUACUUUUGUAUGUAAACUUCUGUAAGAUGGGAAAAAUAUUCUCCUCGGGAGAAUUGAUUGUACCAUCAGAGUAAGCCCCGGCUAACUACGUG
RNAcentral lists this ribosomal RNA (456 nucleotides) under uncultured bacterium. RNAcentral describes it as "bacterial SSU rRNA". It matches the Rfam family "Bacterial small subunit ribosomal RNA", at positions 52 to 507 of the family's 1533-position model. The record is from RNAcentral.